This 285-nucleotide ribosomal RNA is filed under the name uncultured Anaeromyxobacter sp. RNAcentral describes it as "partial 16S ribosomal RNA". It matches the Rfam family "Bacterial small subunit ribosomal RNA", at positions 63 to 338 of the family's 1533-position model. Lineage: Bacteria; Pseudomonadati; Myxococcota; Myxococcia; Myxococcales; Anaeromyxobacteraceae. The record is from RNAcentral.
CGAGAAAGCCCGCAAGGGUGAGUAAACCGGCGAACGGGUGCGUAACACGUGGAUAAUCUACCUUCCUGACCGGGACAACUGGCCGAAAGGCUUGCUAAUACCGGAUAAGACCACGGGGGCUUCGGCUCCUGAGGGAAAAAGUGGCCUCUGUAUACAAGCUAUCACAGGGAGAUGAGUCCGCGGCCCAUCAGCUAGUUGGCGGGGUAAAAGCCCACCAAGGCAACGACGGGUAGCUGGUCUGAGAGGAUGAUCAGCCACACUGGAACUGAGACACGGUCCAGACUC